UAUCGUCUUACCUGCCAGCUGGUAUGUG
This 28-nucleotide small RNA is filed under the name Bombyx mori (domestic silkworm). Its description in RNAcentral is "piRNA piR-bmo-1756421". The record is from RNAcentral. Lineage: Eukaryota; Metazoa; Arthropoda; Insecta; Lepidoptera; Bombycidae.